AUUGAACGCUGGCGGCAUGCCUUACACAUGCAAGUCGAACGGCAGCACGGGUGCUUGCACCUGGUGGCGAGUGGCGAACGGGUGAGUAAUACAUCGGAACGUACCUUAUCGUGGGGGAUAACGCAGCGAAAGCUGUGCUAAUACCGCAUACGCCCUGAGGGGGAAAGCGGGGGAUCGAAAGACCUCGCGCGAUUAGGGCGGCCGAUGCCUGAUUAGCUUGUUGGUGGGGUAAAAGCCCACCAAGGCGACGAUCAGUAGCUGGUCUGAGAGGACGAUCAGCCACACUGGGACUGAGACACGGCCCAGACUCCUACGGGAGGCAGCAGUGGGGAAUUUUGGACAAUGGGGCAACCCUGAUCCAGCAAUGCCGCGUGAGUGAAGAAGGCCUUCGGGUUGUAAAGCUCUUUUGUCAGGGAAGAAACACCGGCUCUAACACAGUCCGGGAAUGACGGUACCUGAAGAAUAAGCACCGGCUAACUACGUGCCAGCAGCCGCAGUAA
Molecule: ribosomal RNA, 500 nt
Filed under: uncultured bacterium
Lineage: Bacteria
Description: partial 16S ribosomal RNA
Rfam family: Bacterial small subunit ribosomal RNA
Source: RNAcentral